RNAcentral lists this transfer RNA (76 nucleotides) under Rhodococcus qingshengii. Its description in RNAcentral is "tRNA-His". It matches the Rfam family "tRNA". From Rfam's summary of the family: Transfer RNA (tRNA) molecules are approximately 80 nucleotides in length. RNAcentral also lists the same sequence under 1 other name. Lineage: Bacteria; Bacillati; Actinomycetota; Actinomycetes; Mycobacteriales; Nocardiaceae. The record is from RNAcentral.
GCGGUUGUGGCGAAGUGGUUAACGCACCUGAUUGUGGUUCAGGCAUUCGUGGGUUCGAUUCCCAUCAGUCGCCCCU